Molecule: ribosomal RNA, 2178 nt
Filed under: Triticum aestivum (bread wheat)
Lineage: Eukaryota; Viridiplantae; Streptophyta; Magnoliopsida; Poales; Poaceae
Description: partial small subunit ribosomal RNA
Source: RNAcentral
AUGCGGGCACGGAGAGGGACAGUUGUUGCCUGCCCCCGAGGGGGGAGCAAAGAGAGAGUAGAGUGCCAGAGGAGGAGGAGAGGAGAGGGGCGGCGAGUAGGGUGGGGAGGGUUUAAGCGGAGGCGGAGGCGGAGCGGCCGGCGCUGGCUGGUACCGCCGGAGGCGGAGGCGGAGGUGCAGGGAGAAGCCCGGGACGCGGGAGUGGCGGUCCGAGCCCCGCCCCGCCGGCAGGCCCCCCGGUGCGGCCGCGCAGCUGCGCGCGCCGGCGCCGGCGGAGAGCCACCACCGGCACGUCUGCCCGGGCGUCUUCGGCAGCGGCAGCGGGAGCGGGAGCAGGGGCCGCCGCCUGCUCCGGCUCCGCGACGUCUUGGACGAGUUCGCCCUCAUGUUCAUGCCGAAGCAGAGGCUGAAGCUCAGGAAGAGGUAGGGGUUCCCGGAGAGGCUCCGGUGGCAGGCGGCGUAGAGCCUCGAGUUCCGCCUCGGCCGGACCUACGAGCUGAAGGCGGAGCGGCGGAUGGCGGCGAAGGAGUGGUACCGCCUCGGGUGGACCUCGCUGUUGCAGAUGAGCGGGCAGCUGGAGGUCAGGGAGACGAAGAUGAGGCGCGGGUUCUGGUUCGGGUUCGAGUUGUCGGAGCUGCUCCAGCUGGGGCUCGACGAGUUCUGGAAGCUGGCGGAGCCCUAGGGAGAGCCGCUCGUCUUCGCGGAGAGGUUGCAGCGGCAGCUGCGGCAGUAGCUGAGGUGGAGGUAGCGGUGGUGGGUGGCCCUCCGCGAGUACCGGUUCCCGCAGUAUAAAACGAGGUAGAGGCUCCGGUAGGCACUCAUGGGCCUGGAGUAGUUCGCGAUGUAGCCCUCGUAGCACGGCGGGCCACUGUUAAUGAUACGGCGCGAGUUAAGUCGGCACAAGUCACUGCCUAGGAAGACGAUGCACGGGUUCCUAUGCCAGACGGGGUACCUCUAUAGUUGGAUGAAGUCUUAGUUGCUGUUCCUCUGGCCCGUCAAACUCUCCUGAGACUAACACCGACUACUCUCCUCGUGCCAAUCGAUAAAUCUUCCAACAUGUCGAGGUCGUAUACUGAGGUUGGUCGAGGUGCGGCGCCACCACCUCGAACACACGCUUCUUCCCCGGCUCUAAUUCAUGAGGUGGCACGUCUUAACCAUACGACCGCUACUCCUCCCGUUUCCCCCGUAAAUGUUAAAACACUGGUUCUCCCCCGCCACGUUCCCCGCACCGAGCUUUUAGAGUACCUGUGUCCAACUCUGUCCCAGUCGUUAGUGGACCUUCAUGGGUUCACACCUCGAACAACCCCUGCUGUGACAACCUCUCAAGAUGAGGCAUCGUGACUGGUUCCUAAUGGUCGUCCGGCUAUGUCCCUGUUUCUACUAGGUAUUCCCCUUCUUAAGUGCGUCGGCCUAAUAUAGGUUUCCAUAGAGCCGUCCUUUCAGUUCCUUAACGAUGGCACCCGACCAGGUCUACUUAAGUCCACGUCUCUUACGAAUAUUAAGAAGCGUCACACUAAGUAACGACUAACCCCUGUUGCGACGGCGGUUGUGGAUAGGCUGGUAAGUCCACCCAACGUGAUCACCGGCACAACUCGUACUCCGUUCGUGUAGGUUUUAACCGCUCCUAGUCGAUAAGAUGAAAGUCGUUUCUCCCUAACUAGUACUUUUCCGGCAACGUCGGUACUAUCCACCCAAGACAUCUCGGCAGAAACUUGUGGAAGGAAUGCUCAAACGGGUCCUCCACCUACGUGAUUACUUGGACUUCGACCUCCCUAGUCAACCGAUUCAAUAACCAAGUUGUUCAGACGCUUUAUAGUGGGCUAUUAAUAGACUUUAUGGUAUGCUACCAAUAGAUUCCUUCAGGUACACUGGUACAUGUCGUCGUCAUACUCUGACUCUUCUUAUUCAAUGUACUAUUUUCCUGCAAAGUACCGAACAUAUUAGCAGGUGCUGUCGCUUCUCUUGGCGCCGCGAAGAGAAAACAACAGGUAAAAACAAAGACCAAGGAGACGACACAUUUGCUCGAGUACAAGCCUACGGUUAUGUUCUUUAUCUUUGACAGCAGAAGUACAUAAAGUGACACCUAGAACAUAGUUACAUACAUACCCGUUUGAACUAAGACGGUAUAAAACUACCCUCGUUGGAGAAGACCCCACGACUUGUGUACUACAUAAGGUC